GUAGGGUGGCAAGCGUUGUCCGGAUUUACUGGGCGUAAAGGGCGCGCAGGUGGCUCGUCAAGUCUGAGGGUGAAAUCUCCCGGCUCAACCGGGAGGAGUCUUUGGAUACUGACGGGCUAGAGGGAAGCAGAGGAGAGCGGAAUUCCCGGUGUAGCGGUGAUAUGCGUAGAUAUCGGGAGGAACACCAGUGGCGAAGGCGGCUCUCUGGGCUUUUCCUGACGCUGAGGCGCGAAAGCGUGGGGAGCAAACCGGAUUAGAUACCCGGGUAGUCCACGCCGUAAACGUUGGACACUAGGUGUGGGGGGUAUUGACCCCCUCCGUGCCGCAGCUAACGCAUUAAGUGUCCCGCCUGGGGAGUACGGCCGCAAGGCUA
This 373-nucleotide ribosomal RNA is filed under the name uncultured organism. Its description in RNAcentral is "partial 16S ribosomal RNA". It matches the Rfam family "Bacterial small subunit ribosomal RNA", at positions 526 to 896 of the family's 1533-position model. The record is from RNAcentral.